RNAcentral lists this ribosomal RNA (251 nucleotides) under uncultured bacterium. RNAcentral's name for it is "partial 16S ribosomal RNA". It matches the Rfam family "Bacterial small subunit ribosomal RNA", at positions 524 to 776 of the family's 1533-position model. The record is from RNAcentral.
UACGGAGGAUCCAAGCGUUAUCCGGAUUCACUGGGUUUAAAGGGUGCGUAGGUGGAAUGACAAGUCAGUGGUGAAAACCUGCAGCUUAACUGUAGAACUGCCAUUGAUACUGUUAUUCUUGAGUACAUUUGAUGUGAGUGGAAUGUGUCGUGUAGCGGUGAAAUGCUUAGAUAUGACACAGAACACCAAUUGCGAAGGCAGCUCACAAAACUGUAACUGACACUGAGGCACGAAAGCGUGGGAGAAACAGG